Molecule: non-coding RNA, 46 nt
Filed under: Schistosoma curassoni
Lineage: Eukaryota; Metazoa; Platyhelminthes; Trematoda; Strigeidida; Schistosomatidae
Source: RNAcentral
AUCCAGCUGACGAGUCCCAAAUAGGACCAAAAUGCGCGUCCUGGAU